GGGUAGCUGGUCUGAGAGGAUGGUCAGCCACACUGGAACUGAGACACGGUCCAGACUCCUACGGGAGGCAGCAGUGGGGAAUAUUGCGCAAUGGGCGGAAGCCUGACGCAGCGACGCCGCGUGAGCGAUGAAGGCCUUCGGGUCGUAAAGCUCUGUUGGAAGUGAACGAAAAAGUCCAUGGUUAAUAUCCAUAGACCCUGACGGUACUCUUCCAGAAAGCACCGGCUAACUCCGUUGCCAGCAGCCGCGGUAAUACGGAGGGUGCUAGCGUUGUUCGGAAUCAUUGGGCGUAAAGCGCGGGUAGGCGGGGCGGCGUGUCGGAUGUGAAAGCCCUCGGCUCAACCGAGGAAUUGCAUCCGAAACUGUCGCUCUUGAGUACGGGAGAGGGAACCGGAAUUUCCAGUGUAGAGGUGAAAUUCGUAGAUAUUGGAAGGAACACCGGUGGCGAAGCCGGCUUCCUGGCCCGAUACUGACGCUGAGACGCGAAAGCGUGGGUAGCAAACAGGAUUAGAUACCCUGGUAGUCCACGCAGUAAACGAUGAGCACUAGGUGUUGCGGGUAUCGACCCCUGC
RNAcentral lists this ribosomal RNA (572 nucleotides) under uncultured organism. RNAcentral describes it as "bacterial SSU rRNA". It matches the Rfam family "Bacterial small subunit ribosomal RNA", at positions 281 to 841 of the family's 1533-position model. The record is from RNAcentral.